ACUUGCAUGGUGUAGUGGUAACAAUGCUGGAUAAUAAUAUUAUCUAGUGGUCACCAGUUCAAUUCUAGUUUUGGGCA
Mycena olivaceomarginata is the source of this 77-nucleotide non-coding RNA. The record is from the annotation of a GenBank genome assembly. NCBI's taxonomy places the organism in Eukaryota, Fungi, Basidiomycota, Agaricomycetes, Agaricales, Mycenaceae.